GCCUAACAGCUAGCUCAUCUAAUUUAAUUAACACCAGACAAUUCAUAAGUUUUACUUAACCUAAACACCCACAACUAAAACAUUUUCCUGCCUUAGUAUGGGCGACAGAAAAGGCAUUAGAAGCAAUAGAAAAAGUACCGCAAGGGAAAGCUGAAAGAGAAAUGAAAUAACCCAUUUAAGCUCAAAAAAGCAGAGACAUAACCUCGUACCUUUUGCAUCAUGAUUUAGCUAGAACUUUUGAGCAAAGAGAAACUAUAGUUCUUAACCCCGAAACCAAGUGAGCUACCCCGAGACAGCCUAUUUUAGGGCCAACCCGUCUCUGUAGCAAAAGAGUGGGAUGCCUAAGAAAUGAAUAUUAGUUCAGCCUCGUACUCCCCAGCCCAAACAAACACUUCUGUUUUUCGGAAUAGAGAAAACUACGAGAGUUAAUCAGACGGGGUACAGCCCCUCUGAUCCAGGAUACAACCUGAACCAGGAGGUUAAAAGUCACACUCAACAAGAUAUGCCGCUUUAGUGGGCCUAAAAGCAGCCACCUACUCAGAAAGCGUUAAAGCUCAGGCAGAACAAAAAUCUAUUAUUCUGAUACUCAACUCCAAACCCCUACUAUUAUUAGGCCAUUCUAUGCCCCCAUAGAAGAGAUACUGCUAAAAUGAGUAACAAGAAGGAAACCCCUUCUCCAUGCCCACCCAUAUAUUAGAUCGGACUGCCACUAAUAAUUAACGAACCCAACCAAAGAGGGAAAAGUGAUCAAACAACAAAACCAAGAAAACCUCACACUAACCAAUCGUUAACCCCACACUGGAGGGCUUCAAGGAAAGAUUAAAAGAAAGGGAAGGAACUCGGCAAACACAAGCCUCGCCUGUUUACCAAAAACAUCGCCUCCUGCAAAAAUCAACGUAUAGGAGGUCUUGCCUGCCCAGUGACUAAGUUAAACGGCCGCGGUAUUUUGACCGUGCAAAGGUAGCGCAAUCACUUGUUUUUUAAAUGAAGACCUGUAUGAAUGGUGAAACGAGGGCUUAACUGUCUCCCCUCUCUGAUCAGUGAAAUUGAUCUACCCGUGCAGAAGCGGGUAUAAAUAUACAAGACGAGAAGACCCUAUGGAGCUUAAGACACAAAGUUAACUGCGUUAAUAAGCCCUUAUUAAAGGAAAAAACAAGGCAAUAACUAACUAGCGUCUUCGGUUGGGGCGACCGCGGGGGAAAAAGAAUCCCCCACGUGGAACUAGAUAUUUUUCUAAACCACGAGGCACACCUCUAAGUCACAGAACUUCUGACCAAAAGAUCCGGCAUUCAGCCGAUCAACGGACCAAGUUACCCUAGGGAUAACAGCGCAAUCCCCUCCAAGAGUCCAUAUCGACAAGGGGGUUUACGACCUCGAUGUUGGAUCAGGACAUCCUAAUGGUGCAGCCGCUAUUAAGGGUUCGUUUGUUCAACGAUUAAAGUCCUACGUGAUCUGAGUUCAGACCGAAGCAAUUCAGGUCAGUUUCUAUCUGUAAAGUUACCUCUCCUAGUACGAAAGGACCGGAAACGUGAGGCCUAUAUCUCAGACACGCCUUACUUCUACUUAAUGAAAUCAACUUAAUUAGAUAAAGAAGAACAUAAAAUACCCAAAGAUAAUUUGGGGU
RNAcentral lists this ribosomal RNA (1624 nucleotides) under Megalamphodus socolofi. RNAcentral describes it as "Hyphessobrycon socolofi 16S ribosomal RNA". The stretch from base 96 to 1543 matches the Rfam family "Bacterial large subunit ribosomal RNA". The record is from RNAcentral. Lineage: Eukaryota; Metazoa; Chordata; Actinopteri; Characiformes; Acestrorhamphidae.